AGCUGAGCGAUCGCGUGAUAUUACGCCGAAAGGUCGUAUCAUGAGGAAAGUCCGGGCUCCGAAGAGCAGGAUAACGGAUAACGUCCGCCGAAGGCGACUUCAGGGAAAGUGCAACAGAAAUAAACCGGAUGCUGUGCAUCUAAGGGUGGAAAGGCGAGGUAAGAGCUCACCGGCGCACUGGCGACUUUGCGCAAAUGUAAACCCUAUCCGGAGCAACACCGUUUACGGGAGCAGAGUGCGUUUGACAGUCUGAUGUCUGCUCGGCAGAAUCCCGUGGGUGGCAUGAGUGGCGCGGUAACGCGGCAUCGAGAUAGAUGAUCGCUGUGUGCAUAAGCACAUACAGAACCCGGCUUACAGGCUCAGUU
This 365-nucleotide RNase P RNA is filed under the name human gut metagenome. Its description in RNAcentral is "Bacterial RNase P class A". It matches the Rfam family "Bacterial RNase P class A". Rfam says of the family: Ribonuclease P (RNase P) is a ubiquitous endoribonuclease, found in archaea, bacteria and eukarya as well as chloroplasts and mitochondria. Its best characterised activity is the generation of mature 5'-ends of tRNAs by cleaving the 5'-leader elements of precursor-tRNAs. The record is from RNAcentral.